AGUAAAAUGAUGAGUUUGUUUAGAUCUGAAUUUAAAUGUGGAAUUUCUUUUGGUCUUCAAAGUUCUCUGAUUGCU
This is a non-coding RNA of Jatropha curcas, 75 nucleotides long. Lineage: Eukaryota; Viridiplantae; Streptophyta; Magnoliopsida; Malpighiales; Euphorbiaceae. The record is from Rfam.